This 17356-nucleotide long non-coding RNA is filed under the name Brachypodium distachyon (stiff brome). Its description in RNAcentral is "long non-coding RNA (BDIS_LNC003374)". The record is from RNAcentral. Lineage: Eukaryota; Viridiplantae; Streptophyta; Magnoliopsida; Poales; Poaceae.
UUCCGAUCAAGUUUUGAGGUAGUAAACGACCUCGGAUUGCAACAAUUCCAAUAGAAAAGUUAUUCGUCUCGAACAAAUGAAGAACUUUCAUAUUUACAACUUUUCCAUCCGAGUAGAUCUUAAUGACCAUUUCUCUCUGUUUUUAACUUCGGUUCUCAGCACCAGAACUUCUGACCGAACCUCCGGGUGAACCUCCGGGUGCUCUCUGUUACUCUUCCAAGAAUAUGCGGAACUUCCGGCUGAUCAUCCAGAACUUCUGGUGGAUUUUUAUUUGUAAGCCAAAAUUGGUUGUGAACACUAGAAUGGGAGUAAAAGUUGUUGAUAUAGCAGCCAAAAGUUGGUAGUACUAGUGAGUCAAAGUUGCCGGUAUAAUAGCCAAAGUUGCUAAUAUAAGAGUCAAAGUUGCCGAUUUAGAAACUAAAGUUGCUAUUAUGUGAGUCAAGGUUGCUAGUCUGCGAAAAAUUGUUGAUAUAGCACCCAAAGUUGUUGUUAUGUGAACAGUUUCAUUUAUAACAGCCAAAGUUGCUAUUAUGUGAAAAGUUGCUGGUAUAGCAGCCAAAACGCCUAAUAUGAGAGUCAAAGUUACCGGUAUAGGAGACGAAAUUGUUAGUAUAUAAAACAAUGUUGCUACUAUGAACAUGAGAGUUGCUAGAGUAGCGACCAAAUUUGCUAGUAUAUCAGUCAAAGUUGACGAUAUAAAAUCAAAGAUUGUUAAUAUGUGAGUCAAACUUGCCGGUAUAGCGACCAAUGUGGAUAGUAGGGAGUCAAAGUUGUUAGUACAUGAGUCAAAAUUAUUGGUAUAGCGGCCAAAGUUGCUAAAGUGAGAAGCAAAGUUGCAUUGUUUAUCAGAAAAGUUGCCUUUUGAGAAUAUUUUGGCAAAAUAUAGCCAAAUAGGAUCUAGUUUUGAAGAUUUCGUCGCAAGAGGGCCAACGGUGAAAACCGAUCAUAAUUCCGACACUCGAUUUGAAAGUUAUGACAUUUAAAAAGUAAAUAAGGAGAAAGCUAAUUGCAUGUGGUUUAGUCUCAAUAUUCAUGCACCCAUCCAUGCAGGCGUACGAGCUAUCCAGAAAACGCGUUGCGAUUAAAUGACGGGGGCCACAUAUUAAUCACGAGACAAUGGUAACCUGCCAAAACUGUACGUGCUGGGUUUCCAUAUCGGCCGGUUAGCUUAUCCAGACAACGGCCGCCGAGUAGUCGUGUCCCUUUUUUUUUCCUUUCCCGAAGCGAAAAGGAAGAAGAAAAAGAAGGGUGACGUCGGCGAAAAGCGGCUCGCCGCCCAUGGUAGACUCGUCAACUGCUACGGGUCUCGUCUACUUGCCAUUGCCAACCGUAUUUUGGUUGCAAGGCCAAACAAGUGCCUUGUGUUUUCUUUCGAUAUCAACCCAACACAUUUUGUUUUGGCUAAUGAAUUCAAUAUGUUCUGUGCCGGCAAAUGGUUAUAUAAAUAUGUAAAUAUCCUUUUUUGAGGACACAACAGUUGGGUCCGAAAACAAUACAAAACAAACGAGAUAUUUACAUAUUUGUUUUGUAUGAAAGGUUGUACGUGGCUAAAAAUAUACGUAUUCUCAGUAGAAUUGACGAGGGGUUAUACCGAUUUAGAUGUGUUGUAGUAAAAUAAAACCCUUAUAUGGGCCGGGCUGUAAAUCCUACGUGGCGAUGACUAAGUCAACAUUUCCCAAGCGUGAGUGAAGAUGCCCACGUGGCGCAGUCAAUCCUACGUGGCAAAGGAAGACAAUUCAACAAGUCAAGCCUCUCAUGCCAUGGUCAAAGGGUGAAAUGAGGUAGAGUAGGGGGCAAGAAAGGUGUGGGAUGAGGCUUUUGGUCCAUGGUGGACCAUGGACCAACCCUCACUUUCCUCCACAUGGUGCACACAAAAGCUAUGGACCAAGGAGCUACUUUUACCAUUUUGCCCCCACUUUUCUCUCUCCCUCAAGGGUAGCCAUGAUCUUUUGUUGUGGACCCCUAGGCUAUAAAUACCCCCCCAUGGGGGCAUGUAUCACUCACUCUCAACUUGAAUCAACUCAAGGGGAGAGGGCUAGAGUGCUCCCUCUAACGUUCGCUCUCGAGCACCGUCUUCGACUAAAAGUCGACCGGCCUCGAGAAAGCCUUGUAGGGGACUCUAGUUUCGAGGCUCCGAGCUAACCUUGGUUAGCACGGGCUCGAAGGAGAAGGGGUUGGGUUAGAGUUCCGAGGGUAUCCUAACCUCGAUACUUGGAAAGACGCGUUCGGUCCAAGUACGAGGCGGCUCCGACGAAUCUCUCGCUAAAGGUGCCUUGGGAAGAUCCGCUCGGCCCAAGCACUUGGCUAACAACCCCCUCGAAAUCUUUCCUAACAUAGGAUUAAGUCGUACCCGCAGGAUCGACCAAACCUAUUCAAAAAAUAUCAACGUGUCAACUUGUCCAAGUGUAUAGCGACCUUCGCUAUAAGGCCGGCGUACACACCCUACUUUUAUACCCGCACUUGUGCCAUUGAGCAUUGGCACCCCUUACUCUAAUUGUUGUCGAGAACAACAACAGUGGCGCCGACCGUGGGGAACCCUCGUCGCAAUUGAAGAUUGAAUGGCCCCGACGAAGCCUACUUCAUUGGGUGCCCAACUUGUCACAAAGUCUACACGGUUGCAAACAAAGAAAGCAAGCGCCCCGGGGGCUCCCGAGAAAGAAGGAAUCCACACCAAUCCGGACAUCGCCGCAAGCAUGGUCGCUACGACGGAAGUCGUGGUCACACCUCCGCUCCCGGCCGUCCCAGAAGGAACCGAGGUGCUCGAAACCAUCAUAGGCGGUCCCUCGAUACUCACCGACGUGGUGGCAAGGAUCGGCGAACUGCCUACGGUUGCCGCCCCCGCAGGGGAUAUGGAAUUUGGCAUGCCUCGCUCGAUGGGCUUCGCGCCACCUUCCCUACAACCGGUAGUGACCUUGCCCUCGGAACCUACGAGAGGAAACAAUGUGGCGUCAGGAGGAUCCGCUUCAGGAAACCAAGGAGUCCUGGCUGAAGGGGAACAUAGGCAGAAAUUUAAAAUUUUCCUACGAACGAACCAACCAAGAUCACUAUGCGGAUGCGAUAAAUUGAUCACGUACCAACAACCGUAGCAGAAGUAGAUUGUCGUUGAAGCCUACAGCAGAUUCUCGCCGCUAGGUUAUACCUCCUAGCCGCGAGAAUAUUCCUCGCAGGAUCUGCUGCGCCUGAAAGCUUGAAGUAGAUGAACAGCGAUCCGCCCGCAAGAUCGAAGUAUACGAUCUCUCCACACGUAUCCACACGUCCCGAAGGAAUAGUUCAGCAGCACUUCGACGUCCAGUACGAAUAACUGCUGGAAGAAACUAGAUCGGAAAGUAGACGAUCUACUAAUUAGACAUCUAAACUUUAGACGUCUAAACAUUAGAGGAGAGAGCUCGGACUUUACGAGCAAUGGACAACUAGCGAGAGUGCUCCUAUAGCCGGCCACCCCUCCCCUCUUUAUAUACGAGGGUGGCGGCCAAAGGGGAAAAGGAGUCCUCCUCCAAAAGGAGUAGGACUCCUACUUCUAAUAGGAAUAGAUAUGGACUCCUAAUAGGAGUCUUAUAUCCCCUUCUCCAAACCAAGAUGGCCGGCCCCCAUGGUCAACCUUUGAAGCGACCGCCCCCGUACAGGGUUCGAUCUCUGUGCUUACUGUGCUAGUCCCUGGAUCGACUCACUAGCACACACAGUUCCAAGAUGUAAUAUCAUGAUACAAAGGUCAAAGUAUUUUAUUACAUCGCAUCAUCCAGAACUUAAUUGUACUUACAAACUUGCAUGACCCUCGGGUCAGCAUAACAAAAUACUGUUUCAACAUAUCAAAAUAGUGUUUCAUAAACUUGCAGCGGAAAGGUAGAGCAAAUGGGCCACAACUACUCCCAAAGGAGAGAGCAUGUUGGAAUGUAAGCACAUGACCCAAAGAACAUCGACGAAUCUCUCUCUUCGUCAGAUUCACCUGCAUUAUUAAUUGCAGCCACUACGUGGUCAAUACAUUGACUGUAUUGGCAAGUUCACCUGAAAGUUAUAACAGACCUAACAAUAUACAUGCAGUAUAUGGCAAGGUGGGUUCGGCUAUUUGCAUAAAAUCAACAAUGUUUCAUCUUAUCAUUUUUAACCAAAAGUUUUAUCUCUAUUGGACAAGGGGUAGACACACCCAUGCUUCUAUUAACCUAGGCACAUUGAGUAGACACAUCAAUGCUCCUACCCAAGUUCAAACCAUACAUUUUAUUAAGAAAUUGGAAUGAGUGAGACCUUCCUUACAGCCCCCAAAUCUAGUUGCUCAUAAUUGUCCGUAACGGGGGACACGACUAAGUACUUAGUUUGAUACUCUCGAGAGGUUGUACACAUUCCACACAAGAAUUCGACGUGUUAAUCCCUUGUUGUCCUCAGGGUAGUGUAGCAACGGCAUCGACUUCAAGAAUUUUCAGAACAUAAUCCCCAGACCACCUGAGGGACCCGCGCUCCCACCUACACAGCUACCUCAUUACAAUCCCUUGGAUCUGGGUUCAUAUUUCUUACUCCAUCCAGCCAGAGCCCAUAUCAGCAUGUGGUUGUACUAGAAGCUACUAAACAGGAAACUAGACUAGUCUCUGGUUACCCCGGGUGGCAUUCCACAUUUGCGACGCAAGCGCUCCCCGAAUCCACGGGGAGAUGUCCAUGGACGGUCCAUCCCCGAAUCCACGGGGACUCGACUCAGAGGGACCCAUAGAAAUGGACCUGACCUCACAUAACAUCUCGAAUACUCAAAGCAGUCCACACAGGACGGUUCAUUGAAUUACUUGUUUUGCCAUACACUAGAAAAAUCAUACUUUACUCCAGAAUGACAAUAAUAUCACAUUGUAAUAAUACCACCCUCGUAUACUAUCAUAGCAUAGCAUUGGACUACCUACGAUGGUAACUAGUGGUAAGGACAUGGCAAGGGUAUCCUAUACUACUAGGAGAAUCAUAGCUAGCAUAGGUACAAUAAUAAUCCUAACAAUGCAACUAAUAAAAACUAGUGCAUAAUAAAAUAAUGGGAUGAUGGUCAAAGUGAACUUGCCUUGGUAGCAGUUGGUAAUCAAGCACUCGUCACAGUCACAAGGUUCGCUCUCCGAGUAAACUAAAAUAAACAAGCAUACACAUACGUAAACACACAACUCACAUCACGACAAAAGAAGGUAUGCUAUAAUGCAAUGCAAAACAUGUGACAUGAUAGGCUUCAUUUUAUUUGAGUGGUCAACCAUAUCAUAAACCUAGUCCAAAGUAUCAGCCAUUAAAAAUUAAUGCACGAGGUUAAAAACAAAAUACGAAAGAAAACAAGGGAUUAAAACCCUAAAACAAGGUUUUAUUGGCAUCAGCCAAUUAAUUUAAUUCAAAAAAUUUAUUUCUCUGUCCCAAUGAAUAGAGGACAAUAAAACAAAUUUUUGGGCACUGGUUUCAAUUAGGAAGGAUUUCCAAAUAAAAAGAUAUGAUUUAAAUGGCAUUAAAGGCCUUUCUGUAAAUUGACUGUGGUUAAGUUAUUCAAAUGUAAUUUCAACUAUGCUAAAAUAUUCUAUAGGUCACGAGCUUUCCAGAAAGGUAAAAUUUAUCAAAUUUGGCCCAGUGGUUUAAAAGAUAUGAGCAUUUGAAGUUCUAGGGGCUUUUCUGGAAAACUAUCAUUUAAUUUAAACUGGGAUUAAGUUUUCAUUUUAAUAGGGGCCACGUGUCGCGCUGUGAUUGGCUGGUACCGUUUCGGGAUUUAAAAUAAAACGCAGCUGUUUGAUCUCACUUAAACGGUCGGACUGCUGAGAUCUAACCGUACCCCUUCGAUUUAAAAAAUGUAAUCCUAACCAUUGAUGAAGAUCGGACGGACGAGAUCGAUCAUGGGGCUUACCGGCGGCGCUAGGUUUCCGACGAGGGUUCCGACGAGCUCGGGGACGCCGCGGCAAGCUUUUCUGGAGGAGUUUCGGCUCGGGGAAGCGUGCGGGAGGCGCGGCUCAACGAGGCGGAGCGGAUGACGGCGUCGGUUCGCUUCGGGGCGGCCGGAGGUGAUGCCUAGGACGGCGGAGACGCGGCGGCGGCGUAGCCUCGAGAUGACGUCGUCGACGAGCUGCGGUGCAACAAACGGAGAUUGGAGCGUGUCAAAAGAUGCACGAGGGAGAGGGGAAGACAAAGGAACAAGCGGCGACGAGCUUCACUCACCAGGUCACCGGCGGCGAGCUCGUUUAGGUGGUGGCAGUGGCGAACUCCGGCUUGAAAUCGGGGCAGCGUGGGCGCGUAAUUGACGAAGAGGGGAGGGGGAAAAGGAUGCGCAAGCUUCGGGCUUUAUAGGGACGCGGGCAGCAGGGCGGGGGGUGCACGGAGGAGACGGCGCGGCGAAGAUUUGGCCGGCGGUGGCGACGCGGACGCGGCGGCGUGACGCGCGGCUCUUUCCUUCGGGGAAGACGACCCCGACAGGUGGGGCCCACCUGUCGGUGGCUCGUGCGGGCGCGUGCGCUGCGGGCCGGCUCGGUCGGUUCGCGCGGUACUAGGCCGGUUCGGCCUAAAAUGGCCGGGCCGGUCCGGUUUUCUCCUUUCUUUUGUUCUUUUCUUUUUUUUCUUUUUCUGAUUUCUUUGAUAUCUUUUGGUUUUGAAGUCCAAAUUGAUCCAAAUAAAUUCCAGAAAAUUUGUAAAAUCAUGUUAUAACAUGACUCAACUUUUGGGACUAAUUUCCCUUCCAAAUAAAAUAUAUAAAAAUACAUUUGCCCUAUAAAUGUCUUUAGGGCUUUGUAACUAUUUAACUAAAAAAGUUUUUUCAACUCCAAAAAAAUAUCCAAAAAUUAUGGGAUAGCUUAUUUAUGCAAUAAACCCAUUUUAUAGAUAAACACUAAUGGUCUAAAGAUCCAAAGCUCAAAUGGGUGAAAUACUAGGGUUUUAAAAUGAAAUAAAACCUUUUCAAAGCCUUUUGUAAUUCAAAUUUUGAUUCAAACAUGCAAAUGUGGCAUGAUGCUCAUGAAUGCAAUGCAUAUGAAAGAGUUUGAAUUUCUAGGAUGUUACAACCUUUGACCAGGGUUUGACCCACCUUUGACUUUUGACUUUUUGCCAUUUGACAUUCCGGAAUUUCCAUCGGAUCCUUCUAAAUGCUUCUAAAACCUUCCGGAAGCACUCGUGAUUACUCCGAACAAUUCUAUAACUCCUAAAUCACAUUUAGGACCUCCAGAAAAUAUGUCUCAUCAUUCUGAACAACUUCAGUAUUCAACUCUCGACCAAAUUCCAAACUCUAGACCUUGAAAUAACCAUUCGUCUUUAAGCGUGUGACCGCGUAGAUUCGGAAAUGUGUAGAUAUGACCCAGUCAAUAAUUAUUUAAAGAGCCUGGACGCUCUCAAUAAUUAGUACACAUCCACGAAGACUUUCGAGCGAACCAUUUAUUACUAAAAACCAUUUCCCUUUGCUUCGCGAUAUGUUUACAAAACCCGGGGUGAGACUUCCGGUAUGCCCGUGAACCAACCCUUGUUCCACUUGUACCUAGUUAUCCCCGUUACCGGUUUUGUACUUUUAACUCGUUCCGUACUCCGAUAUCUCAAUGAUCAUAUCAUUGUUGUGUCUGGCCAGACGGUGAUAGAUAUCGUCAUACCGAGUGGACCCUAAGUGUAUCUCUCCACCGAUAGAGGAGCAAAUCCCAAUCUUGAACUAUCGAGUCAAUUCAUACUUUCUGGAGUAUCUGGAAAUCACCGUCAUGAUAACCCUAUUACAGGAAAGAAUAGGUAACACCAAAGUAUCCUUCCGAUAUACAUAUCAUACAGUAUUCUCAUGGUCUAAGGAUAAUGAUAAUUACAACAAUAACAAUAAUACCGAUAACAAGUAAUCGAUGUGAUCUCUCGGUAUAUUAUUAGUUGGGUCAGUCCAACACCAUUGUUCAAUCAAUGUGCUCUCAUAUAUAACCAGCAUCAUAUGCUCAUGAUCAGGAAAACAGAAUCAUCAAUUAUAUAUAAGCUAGUCAAAGAGGUGUGACUAGGGACCUUUAAAUUAGGGUUUAUGUUUCCACACAUGCAAAUGAGUUUUCCUCUGAAUCUCACAGUCAAGAACCAUUGCAAUUAUAGCAUAGAAAUAUAAACAUCAAUUACAAACUUGGGAAUAUAAUAAUACAAUAUUAUUGCCUCUAGGGCAUAUUCCCUUCAGAUUCCCACUUGCACUAGAGUCAAUAAUCUAGUUUUACAUAAGUUCUCUUACACCAAUGGCAUCCCGGUGUUGCUCAUGUUUCCCUCGUGGUAGAGGCUUCGUCAUCGGAUCUGACACAUUCAGGUCCGUGUGAAUUUUGCAUAACUUAAUAUCUCCGCGGUCAACUAAAUCCCGGAUUAUGUGAUAACGGCAUUCAAUAUGCUUGGACUUUUGGUGAGACCUUGGUUCUUUUGCUUGGGCCACGGCGCCACUAUUGUCACAUUGCAACUCCAUAGGAUCCAAUGCUGUGGGAACCACACCCAGUUCAGUGACGAACUUCUUAAUCCAAUAACCUUCCUUUGCCGCUACAGAAGCAGCCAUAUAUUCAGCCUCCGUUGUAGAAUCCGCCACAGUAUUCUGCUUAGAAUUCUUCCAGCUUGCUGCACCACCAUUGAGUGUGAAAACAAAGCCCGAUUAAGAUCUGAGGUUGUCUGGAUCCGUCAUGAAACCAUCAUCAAUGUAACCCCUUACAACGAGCUCGGCAUGACCUCCAUACACCAGGAACAUUUCCUUGGUCCUGUUAAGUUACUUCAGAAUACUUUUAACAGCGCUCCAGUGCUCCUUGCAUGGAUUGCUUUGAUGUCUGCUCGUAACACUUAGAGCAAACGAUACGUCUGGUCUUGUACAUAUCAUGGCAUACAUUAUAGAACCAAUUGCCGAGGCAUAUGGAACUUUCAUCAUACGUGCUCGCUCAUCAAUGUCGACAGGACACUAAGUCUUCCUUAAUGUCACGGCAUGCGCAGCCGGUAAGAACCCUUUCUUGGCGCUUUCCAUACUAAACCGUUUUAGUACUUUAUUUAUGUACGUGCUCUGGCUAAGCCCUAUCAGGCGUCUCGAUCUAUCCCUAUAGAUCUUGGUACCUAAUAUGUAUGCUGCUUCGCCUAAGUCUUUCAAUGACUCCUUAAUUGUGUUAAGAAAUUGAAUAUCAUUUCCAAUCAACAAUAUGUCGUCCACAUAUAAUAUUAGAAAUGCAAUUGAGCUCCCACUUACUUGUAAACACAAGCCUCUUCGUAAUUCUUGAUGAAACCAAACCCUUUGACCUCUUCAUCAAAACGAAGAUUCCAGCUCCUCGAUGGUUGCUUUAAUCCAUAAAUAGAUCUCUGAUUGCUAAACCGUCUCUGCGCAGCCAUCCACCACAACUUCUUGUGCAUGAAGAUUCCGGGCCCAAAGGGCGUGAUAACGGUCCGCGGUGAACAAUCUUCCAGUAGGAAGACGCUCUACCGCCAUGAGACCAAGUGCGCCGAGAAGGGAGAGUCAUCCAAGAGUAUCAACAUGCUUUCGAACGCGGGAGCAUCUGAAACUGAUCACCCGGAGCGCUACAUCCCUAAGACCUUCCCCGAAGGAGAACUCAAGGAAGUACGCAUCUCCCAAGAUGACGCCACGCGCACGGUCAAGAUUGGAGCCGACCUCCCGAGUAAACUCGAGGAAGAACUCAUUGACCUACUUCGAAAGAAUUCCGAUCUCUUCGCAUGGUCACCUUCCAACAUGGGAGGAGUCCCGCGUGACGUCAUGGAGCAUCGCAUCGCCGUGAGGCUCGACAAAGCUCCUUGGAAGCAAAAGCUUCGAAAGCUCUCCACCGAGCGAAGCAAAGUCAUCAAGCAAGAUAUUGCCAAGCUCUCCCACGCCGGGCUCAUCCGAGAAGUUUGGCAUCCCCAAUGGUUAGCCAAUCCGGUCUUGGUGAAGAAAGCCAACGGUAAGUGACGAAUGUGUGUCGACUUCACCAACCUAAAAUAAGCAUGCCCCAAGGAUGACUACCCGCUCCCUCGGAUCGACCAACUAGUCGACUCCACGGCGGGUUGCGAAAGGUUGAGCUUCUUGGACGCCUAUUCAGGAUAUCACCAAGUCCACAUGUCCACGGAAGACGAGGAAGAGACUAGCUUCAUCACUCUCAUCGGCACCUUCUGCUAUCGUAGGAUGCCUUUUGGUUUGAGGAACGCCGGUGCAACUUUCCAACGCCUCGUCAGCCUCAUCCUCAAAGAACAAUUGGGGAGGAACGCCGAAGUAUACAUUGAUGACGCCGUCAUCAAAAGUCAAACUGCGAAGACCCAUCCCAAGGACCUACAAGAAACCUUCGAUAAUCUCCGCAAGUACGGCAUGAAGCUCAAUCCUGAGAAAUGCGCGUUCGGAGUUCAAGGAGGAAAACUCUCGGGCUUCCUUGUCUCUCAACGAGGGAUCGAGGCCAACCCGGAGAAAAUCCGGGCCAUCCUAGAGUUGGAGCCUUCUCGCUCUGUCAAAGAUGUGCAAGGCCUAGCAGGAAGAAUGGCGGCCUUGGGACGAUUCGUCGCCCGGUCAGCCGAGAAGGGUCUUUCUUUUUCAAAGCCUUGAGAAGCCUCGACAACUUUGAGUGGACCGACGAAGCUCAAAGGGCCAUCGAAGAGCUCAAGACCUAUUUGUCUUCUGACGAGCAAAAAGCAGGGGGAACCUUUGCUCCUAUACCUUGCCGCGACCCCAAUCACCGUAAGUGCAGCACUCGUGAAGGAAGAAAACGGGUCACAACGCUCGGUAUAUUACGUGAGCAAAGCUUUUGGUGGAGCAAAGGGUCGAUACACCCAGAUCGAGAAGAUCGUAUACACUCUCCUCAUGGCCUCUCGAAAACUCCGUCAUUACUUCAUGGGCAACACCAUCAUGGUGCCAACUACCUUCUGACGAAGAUGUAACUUUGACAAUGUCCAUAUUGAUGGACUUGUAUCAAGGAAAGAGGAGUCUGUGUAGGUGAACUCGUCGGCUAAAAGGGACACGGGGGACACGAUUUAUCCAGGUUCAGGGCCCUCGAUGAGGUAAUACCCCUACGUCCUGCUUGUCGGAUCUGUAUUGAUGAGUCGAUUACAAUGGGGUGCCGCAGAGUCUAGAUGCACCGAGUCGUCGAGUGCGUCUAGGCGAGUUGUAUCUAAGUUGGGGGUAUCUCCUUGGCUUCCCCUCCUGGUCCUUUAUAUAUGCAGGAACUCAGGUCUCAGGUAGAGUCCAAGUCGGUUACAAUGAGGAGAUACACUCUAAUUAACCUUCCUUGUCUUGAUUCGCAAGAUUUGGCAUGUAGACUCAUGGAGUCGAGGUAGGCUUCCUUGUGGGGCCCCAGCUGGGCUGUACCGGGUAUACUCGAGUCGAGUACGUGGUUAGUCAUAACCACGUCAGUAGCCCCUAGGUGCCUGGUUGAGUUGAAGACUCGACUAGCGACUUUCCCCGUAAAGAAUGAGCUUAUUCUGCUGUUGAGCCAGUUGCACAAUGCUGCAGACUUGGAAUUUCAUGUACUUCAAAUAAGAAGUAUUUUUGACUCAGAGAGUGUCUGAGCCGAUGCUUUAGUGCUUGACAGUUAAAUGACAGUUUCGCAAUAUGAGCUGAUAUUGAAUCAAUGCGGUGAAUAGGAGUCAUAGGGAUAUAUAUGCUUAAUGCGCCCAGAUACUCGAGAAGUCAAGUCGAGUUAAUCGCUCUAGGGCGAAAACAACAAUAGCUUUCAUCAACAUUCGAGUCCCCGGGCUCAAACCUGGUGAUUGGCGAAUUUUGACUUAGCCUGCUGGGUUCUUAUAGAGUCAAAUUCCAGUUUUUAAGUACUCGACUCGUUUGUCAAGAUUGCUUAAACUGGAAAUACGCAGCUAGUACGUUUCCAGGGCCUAUAGGAAGCCUAUGGGUCUUAUCUUCAUGUAAUGAACAUGGUUAUAAGGAGCGACCCUUAAGUGAAAGUUGUUAUUGGAGGGAUGCAGUCGAUGCAUAUCUAGGCCUAAUUUUUAGGACUUACCUUCAUACAAUGAGUAUGGAUUUGAUUGGAGAUAGCGUAGUUGGUACGAUCCCAGGCUCGUAAGAGAACUUUCGGGUCUUAUCUUCAUGCAAUGAGCAUGGAUUUACUGAAAUACGCAGCUGGUACGUUUUCAGGCUCGACAGAGAGAUCCAUGAGGCUUAUCUUCAUGCAAUGAGCAUGGAUUUUACUAGAGCAGCGCAGCUGGUGCGGCUCCAGUCUCUUUGGACGAAACCCAAGAGGCUCACUGUUAUGCGAAUGAGCAUAAACAACUGAGGUGACGCAGCUGGUGUGAUUCACUUGAGUCGAUUAUAUGAAAUCGACUAUUUUAUGUCAAGGUCAUUGCCCCGUUUUUGCUGUUAUGAAUAAAGAAUAAACAAUAGCUGACUGAAUGAAGUCUUUAGCUAGUUAUAAAGCAACAGCUAGUUAGCUUGCGACUCGAAUGAGAGUCUUAGUUUUCAUAUUCGAGACUCAAAAUGAGUUUCAACAUUUAAGAUAAACUCUGUCAUCCUGUAUGCAAAAUAAUUUUGAGUCAUGAUAUUCGAGUCAGACUCCAUCACUGAUGACGUACCUGUUGAAGGUGAAGAGCCGUUGGGUCAACAGAUGUGACCGGGCAAGACCAAGACCGCAGGCUCUAAGAACGAUGCCAACAAAGGAGAUGCCGGCAAGGGAGUUGUUCCAUGGCUCGCGGUGGCCGACAACCGCGUCAAGAUCCUGGAACUCCAGGAUGAGGGAAUUAAUGUUGCCGGGGGGCCCUGGCGGGGUUCGCUUCCCAGCAAAGGAGGAAUAACCGCGACCGUUGCUAGGUGAGCGGGUUGUCUUCCUCGAUUAUGUGCCGCGGGGGCUCUCUUUUCCCCUUCAUACCUUCUUCCGUGCUAUGCUGCUAGCCUAUGGGCUGCAGCUUCACAAUCUGCCCCCCAAUUCUUAUUUGCACGUUGCGUGCUUCAUCACACUGUGUGAAUGUUUCUUGGGGGUAAGCCCUCAUUGGGGGCUCUGGAAGCGGAUCUUUAUUAUCAAGGGCCAGAAGGCGGACGCCGUUGGGAGCGUCAACUUCUAGGUACGACCCGACGCCAAAUACUUCUCCCUCCAGCAGCGCAAAUCUGUGCAAGGCUGGAGGUCGAAGUGGUUCUACGUCCAGUCUGACGCCCCGGAUGCCGAUCCGAGUCUUCCUGCCUUCUCAAUCAAGAAGAAGGUAAAGAAGACGGCGGCAUGUUACCAUGAACUGACGCCUGUGGAGGAGUCUGAGGCGACUCCCCUGAUGGCUAAGCUUCACUCCCUUAUGGGACAGGGGUUGACAGGUGUUCACCUAAUAGCUCUGUUCCUCAAGAUGAGGAUCCAGCCACUGCAGGCCCGCGUUCACCCGAUGUGGUCCUUCGAAGGACCCAGGGAUCCCACUCGGGUGAAUGCGGAAGAACUAUCUCUGAGCGAGCUAGAGUUGCGGGUGCGAAGGUUAAUGAGCCUGAUCGAUGUGACUCCAGGCAAGAUCGACUCGCCAGUGGUCCCUUAUGGCCUUGACAGGCCAAGGGAAGAGGUAACUUGUAUGUCUGCCGUUGUGAGCUUAUAUUUGUAAGCUACAGAUCUGCUUGCUGGUUGCAGGGACUCGAAGACUCCUUGAGUCAACCUCCUCCUGCAGGGGAGGAGCUGGCUAACGAGCGCUCGGAGUCGCUAGAGCAAGCUAGCGAUUCCGAGACUGAAGAGGUUGCCUUGGAGACGAGGAGGAAGCGCAACAGGGAGUCGAACCCCAAGUCUGAUGAUCAGUCGACGGGUGUCGAGGGUCCACCCGCUGCGACCUAGUCUCCUUCUCCUGCAGCAAAAAAGACCAAGACAGGCGGCCCCGCACUUGUCCGCCGAUUUGGCCUUCUUGGCCGAGUCACCUAGGCCAGGUAGGUGAUUCUUCAUGCAUUAGCUAAAUGGUGUAAUCUGAAUACUGAACUAGCUGUUUUCCUUUGCUAGCUCUGUGGCCUCUAGUGAUCAACCAACAACCCAGGCUAUUGAGCCCACUGGGUCGGACCCGAAAGCUUCGGGUCCCUCGAUCGUCGUCGAGACGUUCGAGCCUCAGGCAUCGAUGCUUGAGGAACCUUCUUCAGUGAGUGGGGAGCGUCAACCCCAAAGGUUGUCCCGUUCUUCGACUCACUUGUAGAAGCAUGGAGCCGAAGCGGCUUCCUCGACUUCGGCUAGUCAAGUAAGUCUUGAGUCCUUUUUGUCAAGUAAACUUCUUUUGUUAAUGAAUUUUGCGCUCCCGGUGGGAGUAUGAGUCAGAUGUUGACGUAAUCACUGCCGCAGCCGAUCAUCUGCUCCAUAACGGAGUUUGUUGAUCGCUAUGACGCGGUGACGGCUGAGCGAGAUCAGCUUCACCAAGAGUUAGAGCGAAGCCAGCAAGAGCUGAGGUCUGCUCAAGGUAAUGCCUCUAGUUUAGUCUUUCUUUGAGUUGAAAAACUAUUGUGUCUUACUAUUUUGUCGUCUAGACCUCCUUUCUCAGGCUAACUCCCAAAAAGAGGCGGCCGAGCUUCAAUCCAAGAACUUGGAGAAGAAGCCUGCUGAUCUCGCCAGGGAGUCGACAGAGAAGCUGGAGGCUGAAAAACGCCUCGCCCAAGAAGCUUCGGGCGCCCUUCUUGCUAAGGAGGCCGAGAAGGAGAAGACGAGAACCGUCCAACUCCAAGGAGUCAUUGGUCCCCUCGCGGGUAAGAACAUCGUUGUUGAAUCCAUUCCUUUGAAUAUAUUGUUAACGCUUUGGCUCAUUUGCAGGCCUGCUUUUCCUUGUCUGGUCUUCUACCUUCAAGUGAAAGUUCACUCGACACGGUGAUUGACGCUGCGGCAAGCGUUUGCUCUAGAGCAGCAACUGGAGUCCAGGGAGCCUCCCGGGUGCUCACCGGUUUGUUCGGGAAAAUGUUUCCUGAUGAGCCGGUACCUGAGUCGCUAGGGAAACUCGUAGAGCUUUUCAGCGCUGACCCGGACCCUCUGGACAAGUUUAGCCGGGUUCAGACCAACUCCAGUGCAGAGUCGACGUUCGUACUAGCGCUAGCACACGGCGUCGGUGAAGACGUGUUGCGGAGGGUGGCUUCGGGCAUUCCUUUGCUACCCAGCGGGAGGAGGUGGCUUUGACGCCUUACUUCCAGCUUGGGGAAGAACUGGCGGCCUAGCUGUCGGCUCAGCUGGAGAGCAUGGCGUCUGAGGGAGGAGCGGCUCCACCAUUGUCGACUCCUGCGCCGAGCCAGGAGGUGGGCCCAGCUUGAGGCUUAGACUUCUUUAGGCUUUCACCUGUAUUCCUCUCUUUUUUUUGUAUCGUUCUUGCUCGUAUGCGAGCAAUAUUAAUAAAGAAACAUCCUUGUUCCUUUGCACUGAUAUGAGUCGGACUCCUUACUUUUAGUUAAGACUCGUGUCUUUGAAUCCUCUCCGGGACUGAAAAAGGGGGUAUUUCUCUUCUGGAGCGACAGAGAGAACCCGCAACUUCGACAGUUGAGGUAGACACAGAGAAGGUUGUGACACCCGAGCCGAAUAACGCGAGAGCCGCGGUCUCGGCUGAGAUGCUUGCUCCGGAGAUCGCGGAGUCGACGGCUCCAAAGGAGGUUCCUUCCCUGGACAAGACUCGAGGUGAACUAGAGUGUAACAUCCCAAAAAUUCAAACUCUUUCAUAUGCAUUGCAUUCAUGAGCAUCAUGCCACAUUUGCAUGUUUGAAUCAAAAUUUGAAUUACAAAAGUCUUUGAAAAGGUUUUAUUUCAUUUUAAAACCCUAGUAUUUCACCCAUUUGAGCUUUGGAUCUUUAGACCAUUAGGGUUCAUCUAUAAAAGGGGUUUAUUGCAUAAAUAAGCUAUCCCAUAAUUUUUGGAUAUUUAUUUGGAGUUGAAAAAACUAUUUUAGUUAAAUAGUUAUGAAGCCCUAAAGACAUUUAUAGGGCAAAUGUAUUUUUAUAUAUUUUCUUUGGAAGGGAAAUUAGUCCCAAAAGUUGAAUCGUGUUAUAACAUAUGAUUUUACAAAUUUUCUGGAAUUUAUUUGGAUCAAUUUGGAGUUCAAAAUCAAAAGAUAUCAAAGAAAUCAGAAAAAGAAAAAAAAGAAAAGAACAAAAAAAAAGAGAAAACCGGACCGGCCCCGUCCCGCGCAAACCGACCGAGGCGGCCCGCAGCGCGCGCGCCUGCACGAGUCACCGAUAGGUGGGCCCCACCUGUCGGGGUCGUCUUCCCCGAAGGAAAGAGCCGCGCGUCACGUCGCCGCAUCCGCGCCGCCAUCCCCGGCCAAAUCUUCGCCACGUCGUCUCCUCCGUGCACCCCGCGCCCUGCCGCCCGCGUCCCUAUAAAGCCCGAAGCUUGCGCAUCCCUUUCCCCCUCCCCUCUUCGUCAAUUACGCGCCCACGCUGCCCUGAUUUCACGCCGGAGUUCGCCACUGCCGCCGCCUAAACGAGCUCGCCGCCGGUGACCUGGUGAGUGAAGCUCGUCGCCGCUUGUUCCUUCGUGUUCCCCUCUCCCUCGCGCAUCUUUUGACAUGCUCCAACCUCCGUUUGGUGCACUGCAGCUCGCCGACGACGUCAACCCGAAGCUCCGCCGCCGCCGCGUCUCCGCCGUCCUAGGCGUCACCUCCUGCCGCCCCAAAGCGAACCGACGCCGUCAUCCGCUCCGCCUCGUCGAGCCGCACCUCCCGCACGCUUCCCCGAGCGGAAACCCCGCCGGAACCCUCGUUGGAAACCUAGCGCCGCCGGUAAGCCCCAUGAUCGAUCUCGUUUGUCCGAUCUUCAUCAACGGCUAGGAUUAGAUCCUUCAAAUCGAAGGGGUACGGUUAGAUCUCAGCCGUCCAAUCCGUUUAAGUGAGAUCCAACGGCUGCGUUUUAUUUUAAAUCCCGAACAGGUACCGGCCAAUCACAGCGCAACAUGUGUCCCCUAUUAAAAUGAAAACUUAAUCCCGGUUUAAAUUAAAUGGCAGUUUUGCAGAAAAUCGCCUAAAACUUCAUAUGCUCAUAUCUUUUAAACCACUACGACAAAUGUGAUAAAUUUACCUUUCUGGAAAGCUCUUGACCUGUAGAAUAUUUUAGCAUAUUUUAAAUUUAAAUUUGAAUAACUUAACCACAGUCAAUUUACAGAAAGGCCUUUAAUGCCAUUUAAAUCAUAUCUUUUUAUUUAGAAAUCCUUCCUAAUUGAAACCAGUGCCCAAAAUUUUUUUGUAUUGUCCUCUGUCCAUUGGGAAAGAUAAAUAAUUUUUUUGAAUUAAAUUAAUUGGCUGAUGCCAAUAAAACCUUUUUUAUGGUUUUAAUCCCUUGUUUUCUUUUGUAUUUUGUUUUUAACCUAGUGCAUUAACUUUAAAUUGCUAAUACUUUGGACCAGGUUUAUGAUCUGGUUGAUCACCCAAAUAAAAUCAACCCUAUCUUGUCACAUGUUUUGCAUUGCAUCAUAGCAUACCUUCUUUUGUCGUGAUGUGAGUUGUGUGUUGCACUACUUUUUAUUAGUUGCAUUGUUAGGAUUAUUAUUGUACCUAUGCUAGCUAUGAUUCUCCUAGUAGU